This is a long non-coding RNA of Dreissena polymorpha, 864 nucleotides long. RefSeq lists it as uncharacterized. The transcript has 10 exons. The record is from RefSeq and is a predicted model, not a curated record. NCBI's taxonomy places the organism in Eukaryota, Metazoa, Mollusca, Bivalvia, Myida, Dreissenidae.
GAUAAGAAUAUGCAAGAAAAACACAUUUUAAUCAGAAGAUAUUUUUCCUUUAGGUUACAAUAUACUAAAUCUUUUUGGAGUGCAAUGCUAUACUCUCUAAAAACAUGAACAUCAUUUAUUUGAAGACACGGUUCUCUGUAGGGUCACUUGCCAUGACUUUAUUUUAGUAUAUUUCUGUGUGCAUGUGGCAGGGAAAACAUUGUUGUUUACUAGAAAUUCACUCUUUUAUCUGAAGAUUGGAGACUACAUAAGACUUUGACAGAUGGCGGGAAACCCUCAUGAACUGGAUAGAAGCCGGUAGAAGAAUGUCUGCGACUAAGCCGAGGGCCACUUGAUAAGGGUUGUUGAUGGUAAAACAGAUUGGAGACUACAUAAGACUUUGACAGAUGGCGGGAAACCCUCAUGAACUGGAUAGAAGCCGGUAGAAGAAUGUCUGCGACUAAGCCGAGGGCCACUUGAUAAGGGUUGUUGAUGGUAAAACAGAUUGGAGACUACAUAAGACUUUGACAGAUGGCGGGAAACCCUCAUGAACUGGAUAGAAGCCGGUAGAAGAAUGUCUGCGACUAAGCCGAGGGCCACUUGAUAAGGGUUGUUGAUGGUAAAACAGAUUGGAGACUACAUAAGACUUUGACAGAUGGCGGGAAACCCUCAUGAACUGGAUAGAAGCCGGUAGAAGAAUGUCUGCGACUAAGCCGAGGGCCACUUGAUAAGGGUUGUUGAUGGUAAAACAGGUAGAAGAAUGUCUGCGACUAAGCCGAGGGCCACUUGAUAAGGGUUGUUGAUGGUAAAACAGAUUGGAGACUACAUAAGACUUUGACAGAUGGCGGGAAACCCUCAUGAACUGGAUAGAAGCCGGUAAAUAGA